This 301-nucleotide ribosomal RNA is filed under the name uncultured bacterium. RNAcentral's name for it is "partial 16S ribosomal RNA". It matches the Rfam family "Bacterial small subunit ribosomal RNA", at positions 509 to 808 of the family's 1533-position model. The record is from RNAcentral.
CAGUCGCCACGGGAAUACGUAGGUGGCAAGCGUUGUCCGGAAUUAUUGGGCGUAAAGGGCUCGCAGGCGGUUUCUUAGUCUGAUGUGAAAGCCCCCGGCUCAACCGGGGAGGGUCAUUGGAAACUGGGAAACUUGAGUGCAGAAGAGGAGAGUGGAAUUCCACGUGUAGCGGUGAAAUGCGUAGAGAUGUGGAGGAACACCAGUGGCGAAGGCGACUCUCUGGUCUGUAACUGACGCUGAGGAGCGAAAGCGUGGGGAGCGAACAGGAUUAGAUACCCCCGUAGUCCCUGUCUCUUAUACC